GUCCACGCCCUAAACGGUGGGCACUAGGUGUAGGGCUCGUAAGGGUUCUGUGCCGAAGGGAAACCAUUAAGUGCCCCGCCUGGGGAGUACGGCCGCAAGGUUGAAACUCAAAGGAAUUGACGGGGGCCCGCACAAGCGGUGGAGCAUGUGGUUUAAUUCGACGCAACGCGAAGAACCUUACCUGGGCUUGACAUGUGAGUGGUAGGAAACUGAAAAGGGACCGACCCGUAGCAAUACGGGAGCUCAUGCAGGUGCUGCAUGGCUGUCGU
Molecule: ribosomal RNA, 269 nt
Filed under: uncultured bacterium
Lineage: Bacteria
Description: partial 16S ribosomal RNA
Rfam family: Bacterial small subunit ribosomal RNA
Source: RNAcentral